GGGGUUGUUACGGAUUCGACAGGCACUGCCUGCGCACCAAUUGCAACUGCUGGCGGCACCAGGAUAAUCAGCCGCAGAAAAAUAACUGCAAAAAAUACAAACACUUACGCAAUGGCUGCCUAAACACCAGCUUGCGUGACUUUCACAGCAUCGCCGAUGUGUCGCUGAAAGUCCAAUUUUAGUCGGAUAAGCGAACUGCAGCGUUUCGGGUGGUUCGAUGAAAAUUUAGAAACUCGCGUGUGAUGUGUUUUUGAGACUUUUUGACUCACAGGUUAAAUUUCAGGAAGUCCUAUGGUUGUAGAUGUUGAUGAUGCAAGGUGUUUGGACGCGGGUUCAAUUCCCGCCAGCUCCAA
This 353-nucleotide transfer-messenger RNA is filed under the name Streptococcaceae bacterium. It matches the Rfam family "transfer-messenger RNA". Rfam says of the family: Bacterial tmRNA, also known as 10Sa RNA or SsrA, is named for its dual tRNA and mRNA-like properties. Its role is to liberate the mRNA from a stalled ribosome. To accomplish this part of the tmRNA is used as a reading frame that ends in a translation stop signal. Lineage: Bacteria; Bacillati; Bacillota; Bacilli; Lactobacillales; Streptococcaceae. The record is from RNAcentral.